This 660-nucleotide ribosomal RNA is filed under the name Triticum aestivum (bread wheat). RNAcentral describes it as "partial small subunit ribosomal RNA". The record is from RNAcentral. Lineage: Eukaryota; Viridiplantae; Streptophyta; Magnoliopsida; Poales; Poaceae.
AUGUUGAGCCGGCGAAGAUCACCGGUAGUGGCUUCGCUACAGCUGCCGCUGGUGACAACUCUUCUGUUUCUAUGGGUCCUAAGCUGGGGGCAUGCAACAGCAGAUGCUGAUAUAGCUAACAUGACGGCACUCCAGAAACAUGUCUCUUUUUUCGACCGUAACAAGGAUGGCAUCAUUACUCCUACAGAAACAUUUGAAGGAUUUGUUGCAAUUGGUUGUGAUGUUGCGUAUUCUAGAGACUCUGCCUCUUCCGUGCAUGCUGCCCUUGGUCCUAUAACAAGCCCGGUUGAUGCACCAUUGCCCCACAUUAAUAUUCACAUAGGCCUAAUCCACAGAGCAAUGCAUGGAAGUGAUUCAGGUGCAUUAGAUGCCAAAGGAAGCUGUAGGUUUGUUCCCCAAAAAUUCAAGGAAAUAUUCAUAAAGCAUGCAAAAGCCAGACCAGAUGCGCUGACAUCCUCAGAGGUGGAGGAGAUGAUACUAGCAAAUCGAGAUCCACUAGACCCUCGAUCAUGGUCGGCGCCUGUAAAUGAGUGGGGCCUGACAUACAAGCUCGCAAGUGAUAGAGAUGGUUUUCUUCAGAAGGAUAGUGUAAGAGGUAUAUAUGAUGGAAGUGUGUUUGUCAAGUUGGAGGAAAAGAGGUCUCUUCGGAGUGAAAUAUGA